GGAUUAAUUAAAAGCCUAAGUAUACCUAACUUUCCUUUCUUCUAUUCACCCGAUUCCAUCUCUUCCGACCCCUCUUCAUCACGAUUCGCCGUCGACCUCUCCCCAGAUCCCAAUCGUCGCUGCUCGAUGACGUUGAUCCACCGCUGCCUCUCGGGGAUGCCGAUCGCCCCUCCUCAUCACCGGAUUUUGGAUCAAGGAGGUCCAACACCGUCUUCGUCUCCUUUCACCCGGGCAUUGUCUACCCUUCUUGAAGCCCUGCCCUAGCUCCACUCUAGCGCCACCGCCCUCUUGAUCUCGAUGUCGUUGUUGUGUUGGCACAGAUUCUCCAUCGUCAUGCCCUAGUUUCCUGGUGUCGAGACUUUCUUCCUCUCACCUGCAUACCCGAGCGAUGCCAACACCUCCUCUUCCUUUCUCUGCCAUGGGACACUGAUCGUUGGCACCUGCUAUGACAUAGAUCGAUCGCUAAUCUUCUAAUCAGUCGCUAAUCUUCCGAUCAGAUCUAAAGUUCCGGCGACCACAACCCUUGCUGAACUUCAUCCACACAGCGAGCUAGCGACACUUGAAGCUGUGAGGGUUAUUGGGACAGAGACUUGAGAUUUCCAGAAAGGGAGCCAAGAUUCAUGCCAUAGAGGUAUGAGAUCUAUAGAGUAAGGGUUAAAUGAUUAAGAUAUAGAUCAGUGUAGGGCAAAUUUCUGUUGUGGAUAAUAUUGGAGUGUAGGAACCAUACUAAACGUUGAUUUGGGGAUAAUUAAUGCAAAAGGCAGCGACUUCACUUGGUCUCGACCACCGUCACUGGCAGUGAGUUGCUCCGACCGUGAGUAGUGCAUUGGAUUUGGGGUAAGACUGUUGGAACUCCGUGAUAGUUUUGAUGUGAUCAACCAAGUUAAGUUAGGUCAUGUUGUGUUUGAUCCUUGUGUCUAAGUGUACAGAAGCUUAGGAACACAAGAAGUCGAGCGAAAGACGCAGCUAGCGAGAAGGAUUGCACAGGAAGGGAGUCAACAGGCUAGAUGCAUCCGAGGGGCGAGGUGCUGCGGAAGAGUACACCGGUGGACUAGAAGGACGCGCGCGGUGGUCCGAGGGACGAGAAGCCGAGAGAAAAUCUGCUCGAGGAGAAGGUCGAAAAAUGAGUUCGGGUGAGCCCUAUUCCGGUUGGCCUAAAUUACUCAAAUGAGAGGAACAACGAAAGAUCAAGAGAAAGAAAGUGGAGCUCGGUAGCAGUUGCCGAAAACGCCUUCAAGCUAUUGGAAGGCACCUUCAAUCCUUCAUGGAAGGUGCCUUCCAGCACUUGAAGCACCUUCGACUAGGCAAAAGUGAACGUUGGGAAAGGAUAAAUCUUUAUCCUUUCUUGCUUCACUGGAGGCGCCUUCCAGCCUCGGAUAAGAUUUUCAGGGGCUAUAAAAAGACUCAUGGAACUAGGAAAUAUACAACAACUCUAGUAUUUAUUUCCUAACAACUGUCUGAGCAUUCAACGACUGUAAUAGGCUUAUUCGCCUACACGAUGGAGAUCAUUUUAGUAUUUUCUUCCGUCUUGGAUUAACAACCACCUAAAUUGUAACCAAGUAACUCCUUUGUGUCUUUUACUUAUUAGUUGCUUAAUUUCCUAUUUAUAAGUGU
Zingiber officinale is the source of this 1614-nucleotide long non-coding RNA. RefSeq lists it as uncharacterized. NCBI's taxonomy places the organism in Eukaryota, Viridiplantae, Streptophyta, Magnoliopsida, Zingiberales, Zingiberaceae. The record is from RefSeq and is a predicted model, not a curated record. The transcript is spliced from 2 exons.